UAAGACGUAGGAUGCGAGCGUUGUUCGGAUUUAUUGGGCGUAAAGCGUACGUAGGCGGCUGCCUAAGUCUGGUGUUAAAGCUAGAGGCUCAACCUCUGUGAUGCACUGGAAACUGGGCGGCUUGAGAGCGGUAGGGGAAGGUGGAAUUCCGAGUGUAGCGGUGAAAUGCGUAGAUAUUCGGAAGAACACCGGUGGCGAAAGCGACCUUCUGGGCCGUUUCUGACGCUGAGGUACGAAAGCGUGGGGAGCAAACAGGAUUAGAUACCCUGGUAGUCCACGCUGUAAACGAUGGUCACUAGGUGUCGGGGGUAUCGACCCCCUCGGUGCCGUAGCUAACGCGUUAAGUGACCCGCCUGGGGAGUACGCACGCAAGUGUGAAACUCAAAUGAAUUGACGG
RNAcentral lists this ribosomal RNA (397 nucleotides) under uncultured bacterium. RNAcentral's name for it is "bacterial SSU rRNA". It matches the Rfam family "Bacterial small subunit ribosomal RNA", at positions 521 to 916 of the family's 1533-position model. The record is from RNAcentral.